UGGGGAAUAUUGGACAAUGGGCGCAAGCCUGAUCCAGCCAUGCCGCGUGAGUGAUGAAGGCCCUAGGGUUGUAAAGCUCUUUUGCGCGGGAAGAUAAUGACGGUACCGCAAGAAUAAGCCCCGGCUAACUUCGUGCCAGCAGCCGCGGUAAUACGAAGGGGGCUAGCGUUGCUCGGAAUCACUGGGCGUAAAGGGUGCGUAGGCGGAUCUUUAAGUCAGAGGUGAAAGCCUGGGGCUCAACUCCAGAACUGCCUUUGAUACUGAGGGUCUUGAGUAUGGGAGAGGUGAGUGGAACUGCGAGUGUAGAGGUGAAAUUCGUAGAUAUUCGCAGGAACACCAGUGGCGAAGGCGGCUCACUGGCCCGAUACUGACGCUGAGGCGCGAAAGCGUGGGGAGCAAACAGG
RNAcentral lists this ribosomal RNA (404 nucleotides) under Actinomycetes bacterium. Its description in RNAcentral is "Actinobacteria bacterium partial 16S ribosomal RNA". It matches the Rfam family "Bacterial small subunit ribosomal RNA", at positions 355 to 776 of the family's 1533-position model. The record is from RNAcentral. Lineage: Bacteria; Bacillati; Actinomycetota; Actinomycetes.